AUGGAAAUAGGAGAAUUUGAAAUAUGUGAAGUACAAGCACAUGGACUGCAGCGAGAUUUAUGACACAUAUGAAAAACUCUUCGGCAACACCAGUGACUCAACUAAGUACGCGUUGUCCCCAUUGAAGUUGUCGUAGCGUGGUUUUGACUUGGGCACAGAAUAUGCAUGUAUAUCCGUAGCGCAGUGUGGCUACAUUUUCAUAUUGCAGAAUAUGCAUGUCUUUUUGCAAACACGUUUUCAAGAAUUUAGGAUGUAUCUGCUGAUGUUCAUGCACUUCAUGCACAUUCUUCGAGACCAGUAUGACAUAUCGAACAACAUGAAUAUCGAUGUUUAUGAGCAGGUGGGAAUGUUAUUUUGCAUACUUGCACAUAAAAAAGGAUAUCGACAAGUGUAAACUUUGUCCGAUCACUCGUUGCAGACCAUAGCACACUAUUUUAAUAUAGUGCUGCGUGCAUGCUUGGCAUUCGCUGUUACAAUGGUAAAACUAGAUCCAGCAUACAACGGAGGUGCUGCCCACCAUCGGCUCGAUUCGGAGCUCUACCCUCUAUUCCAGGUUUGCGACAGUCAUACAUGAAACUUAAGCUUGGUUACUGUUGCGAAGGUGACAUAAAUUAUGAAAUUGCUAUUUGUGAUGGUGAAAUUGCAAGACUGCAUUGGUGUAAUGAUGAGAUGCACGUCAGAGCUAUGUUGCUUAGUCACAUGAGGAAGAAUUUCAUAGGAAGAAAGAUUAUUCUGACGAAGAACGUCUUAGCUGCCUGUGAUUUUAACCUAUGCUUUAGGUUCGUGUUACCAGAGACAACAAGGAACACGUACGACAUUUGCAUAUUGGCUCCAGCUGUGCAUAGUGCGAAAAUAAAUUUCUCACAACCAACGAGCGGAAAAUAUUUCUUUGUGGACUUGGGGUUCACACACAAGCCUGGGUAUAUGGCACGAUAUAAGGGCUCCGAAAUCAGAUAUCAUUUCCAAGAGUUCGGGAGCUUAGCGAGCAAACAACGGCGUCAUUUUCAUAAUGCACGUGAGCGAUUUAAUUUCCACCACUCUUCAUGUCGGAAUGUUAUCGAGUGGAUGUUCGGUGUUUGAAAAUAGAGAUGGAAGAUUCUAUAUCAAAUGUCAACUUAUAGUAUGAGAGUGCAAACUGUUGUGGUUAUGGCCUCAAUGGAAAUUCGUAACUUCUUUAAAAGAAACGACCGACUCGACGAGGGUUUCCAUAGAGCCGAAGAAAUGGACGAUGACAAAGUUGAGAUCGACCUUCCCGAUGAACAGGAUGACAUUGUUGCCGAACUGGAUGCAAUAGGCACAAAGGAUAUGUCGUGGUAACAUUUGCGUGAUUACAUGGCACGGGCGCUACGUGCGAUGGGGAUGAGAAUAAAAUUUUCUGUUGCGUGCAUUUUCUUUUUUUUGUAACCUGUUUGCAUCAUGUUGUUGUGUCAAGUGUUAUGAUGGGGACGUUUUCAUUGGCAAUUAGAAGUUGUCUGCCAAAAUUUUUGUUUUAUGUAUUAAAGUUUCUUUCCGU
This 1513-nucleotide long non-coding RNA is filed under the name Olea europaea subsp. europaea. Lineage: Eukaryota; Viridiplantae; Streptophyta; Magnoliopsida; Lamiales; Oleaceae. The record is from RNAcentral.